RNAcentral lists this ribosomal RNA (733 nucleotides) under Entamoeba moshkovskii. RNAcentral describes it as "SSU rRNA". It matches the Rfam family "Eukaryotic small subunit ribosomal RNA", at positions 738 to 1431 of the family's 1831-position model. Lineage: Eukaryota; Evosea; Mastigamoebida; Endamoebidae. The record is from RNAcentral.
UAAUCACUUUAUCAUUACUUUGAAUAAAAUAGAGUGUUUAAAGCAAAACAUUAAGUUAAUGAAUAUCCAAGCAUGGGACAAUGCUGAGGGGAUGUCUUCGGACAUUUCGAGAGAAGGAUUAAAAGGAACAAUUGGGGUGAUUCAGAAAAUAACGGGAGAGGUGAAAUUCCAUGAUCGCUAUAAGAUGCACGAGAGCGAAAGCAUUUCACUCAACUGGGUCCAUUAAUCAAGAACGAAAGUUAGGGGAUCGAAGACGAUCAGAUACCGUCGUAGUCCUAACUAUAAACGAUGUCAACCAAGGAUUGGAUGAAAUAAAGAAAUUCGCGGAUGAAGAAACAUUGUUUCGGAAACCAAGAGUUUCACAACUACCUUGUUCAGAACUUAAAGAGAAAUCUCGAGUUUAUGGACUUCAGGGGGAGUAUGGUCACAAGGCUGAAACUUAAAGGAAUUGACGGAAGGGCACACCAGGAGUGGAGCCUGCGGCUUAAUUUGACUCAACACGGGAAAACUUACCAAGACCGAACAGUAGAAGGAAUGACAGAUUAAGAGUUCUUUCAUGAUUUAUUGGGUAGUGGUGCAUGGCCGUUCUUAGUUGGUGGAGUGAUUUGUCAGGUUAAUUCCGGUAACGAACGAGACUGAAACCUAUUAAUUAGUUUCCUGCCUAUACGACAGGAAUCUCCGCAAGGUCAGGUGCCUCGGUACCACUUCUUAAAGGGACACAUUUCAAUUGUCU